UACGGGGGGGGCAAGCGUUGUUCGGAAUUACUGGGCGUAAAGAGCGUGUAGGCGGCUCGAUAAGUCUGCUGUGAAAGUCCAGGGCUCAACCCUGGAAGGCCGGUGGAAACUGUCGGGCUAGAGUCCGGAAGAGGCGAGUGGAAUUCCCGGUGUAGCGGUGAAAUGCGCAGAUAUCGGGAGGAACACCAAUGGCGAAGGCAGCUCGCUGGGACGGUACUGACGCUGAGACGCGAAAGCGUGGGGAGCAAACAGG
RNAcentral lists this ribosomal RNA (253 nucleotides) under uncultured bacterium. RNAcentral describes it as "partial 16S ribosomal RNA". It matches the Rfam family "Bacterial small subunit ribosomal RNA", at positions 524 to 776 of the family's 1533-position model. The record is from RNAcentral.